Molecule: ribosomal RNA, 253 nt
Filed under: uncultured bacterium
Lineage: Bacteria
Description: partial 16S ribosomal RNA
Rfam family: Bacterial small subunit ribosomal RNA
Source: RNAcentral
UACGGAGGGUGCAAGCGUUAUCCGGAUUCACUGGGUUUAAAGGGUGCGUAGGUGGGCAGUUAAGUCAGUGGUGAAAUCUCCGGGCUUAACCCGGAAACUGCCAUUGAUACUAUCUGUCUUGAAUAUCGUGGAGGUAAGCGGAAUAUGUCAUGUAGCGGUGAAAUGCUUAGAUAUGACAUAGAACACCAAUUGCGAAGGCAGCUUACUACCCGAAUAUUGACACUGAGGCACGAAAACGUGGGGAUCAAACAGG